UACAGAGGGGGCAAGCGUUGUUCGGAAUUACUGGGCGUAAAGGGCGCGUAGGCGGCCUUCUAAGUCGAACGUGAAAUCCCCGGGCUCAACCCGGGAACUGCGUCCGAUACUGGAAGGCUUGAAUCCGGGAGAGGGAUGCGGAAUUCGAGGUGUAGCGGUGAAAUGCGUAGAUAUCUGGAGGAACACCGGUGGCGAAGGCGGCAUCCUGGACCGGCAUUGACGCUGAGGCGCGAAAGCCAGGGGAGCAAACGGG
RNAcentral lists this ribosomal RNA (253 nucleotides) under uncultured bacterium. RNAcentral's name for it is "partial 16S ribosomal RNA". It matches the Rfam family "Bacterial small subunit ribosomal RNA", at positions 524 to 776 of the family's 1533-position model. The record is from RNAcentral.